CACAGGCGCUGCUGGGGUUCUG
RNAcentral lists this microRNA (22 nucleotides) under Danio rerio (zebrafish). RNAcentral's name for it is "Dre-Mir-216-P2b_3p* (star (passenger))". The record is from RNAcentral. Lineage: Eukaryota; Metazoa; Chordata; Actinopteri; Cypriniformes; Danionidae.